This is a long non-coding RNA of Alligator sinensis (Chinese alligator), 655 nucleotides long. RefSeq lists it as uncharacterized. The transcript is spliced from 4 exons. The record is from RefSeq and is a predicted model, not a curated record. NCBI's taxonomy places the organism in Eukaryota, Metazoa, Chordata, Crocodylia, Alligatoridae.
AGAGAAACCAUGCAAGGACCUCCCCUGUGUAGAUGGAGGCAAAUAGUGCCCAGUAAUAUAUUUAGCAAGUGAGUAUGCAAGCCACAGAAAAACAGUGAGGAGAAGGAUGAAAAAAUAAGUCAUUUGUUGCAAAGUUAUAUUUAGACCCAAGCAGAUUAAAUAUUUCUCAGAUGAAAUUCUCCCACUAUAUUGCUGCAGCCCUAUUAAAGUGAAAUGAGUUUUGUCAGUGGCAACAAGGAAAAUUUGGUCCAUUGCAUCUAAUAAUGCCCAGCUCUUACAUAGUGCUGUUUAUCUGUCAAUCCCAGAGUGCUUUAAAAGAAGGUCGCUAUCUUAAGCCAAAUUUCACCAGAUGCAAAAACAGACACAGCUGAAGUCACUUGCCAAACAUCAUCAAUAGCAUAGUUAGGAAUCAACCCUCAGGUUUUCUGAAACCUAUUCCAGGGCUCUGUCUAAUAGAGCACAGCAACAGGGAGCUGCUGGAGAGUGCUGGUUGAAUACUGCACCCUGUUAUAAUGUAUAGCGAGCUGACCAUGAUGAAAUUGAAGCAGGGCCUUUAGAACAAGGAGCUCUGUUGCCUAAAGAAGACUGGACACAACACUGACUUAAUGGAACCCCACUUUAUUCAGUGCACCAGCGGAAGAUAUGAGAACACCAC